Dryobates pubescens (Downy woodpecker) is the source of this 222-nucleotide long non-coding RNA. RefSeq lists it as uncharacterized. NCBI's taxonomy places the organism in Eukaryota, Metazoa, Chordata, Aves, Piciformes, Picidae. The record is from RefSeq and is a predicted model, not a curated record. The transcript has 3 exons.
UGGUGGUCCCGGUGGCCUCCAUUUCAGCCCUUAAGAAGACAAACACAGCACUUGUGGUGCCCAACGCGCUCAGCAUCCGCACGGCCAACGGGGAGAAGUUCCUCUUCGUGUCGCUGCGCCAGCGAGAGGCUGCGUACCAGCUCCUGAAGUCAGUUUGCACACACCUGGAGGACAACAGCCACAGUCCUCUGCCCUCUCUGAGCAACGAGGAAAUCCUUAGGA